Molecule: ribosomal RNA, 929 nt
Filed under: Lasionectriopsis pteridii
Lineage: Eukaryota; Fungi; Ascomycota; Sordariomycetes; Hypocreales; Bionectriaceae
Description: eukaryotic LSU rRNA
Rfam family: Eukaryotic large subunit ribosomal RNA
Source: RNAcentral
UCUAAGGUUGACCUCAGAUCAGGUAGGAAUACCCGCUGAACUUAAGCAUAUCAAUAAGCGGAGGAAAAGAAACAACAGGGAUUGCCUAGUAACGGCGAGUGAAGCGGCAACAGCUCAAAUUUGAAAUCUGGCUCUCGGGCCCGAGUUGUAAUUUGUAGAGGAUGUUUCUGGCAAGGUGCCUUCCGAGUUCCCUGGAACGGGACGCCAUAGAGGGUGAGAGCCCCGUACGGUUGGUUGCCGCGCCUCUGUGAAACUCCUUCGACGAGUCGAGUAGUUUGGGAAUGCUGCUCUAAAUGGGAGGUAUACGUCUUCUAAAGCUAAAUACCGGCCAGAGACCGAUAGCGCACAAGUAGAGUGAUCGAAAGAUGAAAAGCACUUUGAAAAGAGGGUUAAAUAGUACGUGAAAUUGUUGAAAGGGAAGCACUUAUGACCAGACUUGGGCCGGUUGAUCAUCCGUCGUUCUCGGCGGUGCACUCUGCCGGCUCAGGCCAGCAUCAGUUUGGUCUGGGGGAUAAAGGUUUCGGGAAUGUGGCUCCUCCGGGAGUGUUAUAGCCCGUUGCGUAAUACCCUGGAUCAGACUGAGGUUCGCGCUCUGCAAGGAUGCUGGCGUAAUGGUCAUCAGUGACCCGUCUUGAAACACGGACCAAGGAGUCGUCUUCGUAUGCGAGUGUUCGGGUGUCAAACCCCUACGCGUAAUGAAAGUGAACGUAGGAGAGAGCUUCGGCGCAUCUCCGACCGAUCCUGAUGUUCUCGGAUGGAUUUGAGUAAGAGCAUACGGGGCCGGACCCGAAAGAAGGUGAACUAUGCCUGUAUAGGGUGAAGCCAGAGGAAACUCUGGUGGAGGCUCGCAGCGGUUCUGACGUGCAAAUCGAUCGUCAAAUAUGGGCAUGGGGGCGAAAGACUAAUCGAACCUUCUAGUAGCUGUUUCC